AUUUAUUUUUUAUCGAAUAAAAUGUUAAAUUGCAGUUCGUUUUGUGUCUGGUCAAUUAUUAAAGAGCCAGCAAUUAAAUAAUAACAAUCCAAUGGGAAAAAAGGCCGUAAUGCAAAUAAUAAGUUCUUUUUAAUACGAUUUACUUUGCACAUUUACAGUUAAUAACGAUAAAUUCAGCAAGGAGAAAUAUUCUCGCCUCGUGACGAAUGGAAAACCCCAUUUUCCCGAAGUAAUAAAAGCGCAUUAUACCCAUACUGGCCCCAAAAAAGAACGGAAAAAAUGAAAAAAUAGUGAAGCUUGGAACACAGGAAUUAAUGUUGCAACCCUUAGAAAGCCCCAAAGAAGUUGAAAUUGUGUGGAAUUCUUUGGAGAAUUCUGGUGCUGAAGUUUGGGUAAACAAAGGCACCAAAUGUGGCACGUAAACAUAAACGAAUCCAGGCUAAGGUCAGUUGAGAGACAUACGAGUAAACAAUGAGGUUGUUUUUCUACGAAACUCCAAGAAAAUUAACCUGCACAAAGGUUUCAAUUGCAUUCAAGAGUAAACAAAUUUAUGGAAUCGAAAACAAUUGAAAAUGUGUCUUCGUAGGCAAGCGAGCAGUCCAACCCAGUGGAAAGAAGCAAUCAAAAGCAAUUAUAAUGAAAUUAUAAUAAUGAGCAAUUUUAAAGGGGUACUAAGAAA
Drosophila santomea is the source of this 679-nucleotide long non-coding RNA. RefSeq lists it as uncharacterized. The record is from RefSeq and is a predicted model, not a curated record. Lineage: Eukaryota; Metazoa; Arthropoda; Insecta; Diptera; Drosophilidae. The transcript is spliced from 2 exons.